UUCGUGCAAAGGGAAGCCAAGCUUGCUCAGUCACUCGAUCUGUUCGAUCAUGUAUAAUACAUAAUUGAUGACCGAUGCUCCCUCCCUCAUCCAAGUAUUGAAAAUGAUGCAACUAGUCUUGUACCGCUCAACGUCGUCAAAAAUAUCAAAGGACUCUCUCAACACUUGGAGCGUGUCCUCUGGCUGAGUCUCUUCGAACUUUCAACUGAAC
Molecule: long non-coding RNA, 211 nt
Filed under: Elaeis guineensis (African oil palm)
Lineage: Eukaryota; Viridiplantae; Streptophyta; Magnoliopsida; Arecales; Arecaceae
Description: long non-coding RNA (EGUI_LNC068443)
Source: RNAcentral